Molecule: long non-coding RNA, 494 nt
Filed under: Phaseolus vulgaris (common bean)
Lineage: Eukaryota; Viridiplantae; Streptophyta; Magnoliopsida; Fabales; Fabaceae
Description: long non-coding RNA (PVUL_LNC000143)
Source: RNAcentral
UUUCAGAUUAAUAAUAUACUCUUUUCUCUCCUUCUCUCACACCGUGCUUCAUCUCUUCUCUGUUUCUUCAUACCUUGCUGUUUUCUUUCUCUUUGAUCUCUGUAAAUGUUGCAAUUACAUCAAAGCACUCUUUUGAUUUAUCUCUGUUAUGGUAUCAGAGCUCUUCUUUGAGAAGAGCUCUGCUGCGUGCACUCUGUCUUCGUUCUCUCAAGAUUCUCUUCUUUUCCUUUUUUUCACGUUUUGUGCAUUCACCCUGCUUUGCAUCUUCUUGAUUCUUUCUAACGAUUGUUUGAUUGUUUUAUUUUUACAGUUCGUAUUUUUUGCACGCAAAUGGCUGACGAGAAUAGUGACAGGAGCGAAAGCCCUAAUUCUAAUCAGAACAAGAAUCCCUUACAAGGCGAGAAUUCUAUUCAUAGUUUCUUAUACUUGCAUCCCAGUGAAAAUCCUGCUACACCCCUUGUGUCACCCAUUCUUGAUUCCACAAAUUACCACUC